GACGAACGCUGGCGGCGUGCCUAAUACAUGCAAGUCGAGCGAAGUUUUUCUGGUGCUUGCACCGGAAAAACUUAGCGGCGAACGGGUGAGUAACACGUAAAGAACCUGCCUCAUAGACUGGGACAACUAUUGGAAACGAUAGCUAAUACCGGAUAACAGCAUUAACUGCAUGGUUGAUGUUUGAAAGUUGGUUUUGCUAACACUAUGAGAUGGCUUUGCGGUGCAUUAGCUAGUUGGUGGGGUAAAGGCCUACCAAGGCGACGAUGCAUAGCCGACCUGAGAGGGUGAUCGGCCACACUGGGACUGAGACACGGCCCAGACUCCUACGGGAGGCAGCAGUAGGGAAUCUUCCGCAAUGGGCGAAAGCCUGACGGAGCAACGCCGCGUGAGUGAAGAAGGAUUUCGGUUCGUAAAGCUCUGUUGUUAGGGAAGAAUGAUUGUGUAGUAACUAUACACAGUAGAGACG
Molecule: ribosomal RNA, 466 nt
Filed under: Gemella haemolysans
Lineage: Bacteria; Bacillati; Bacillota; Bacilli; Caryophanales; Gemellaceae
Description: bacterial SSU rRNA
Rfam family: Bacterial small subunit ribosomal RNA
Source: RNAcentral